This 82-nucleotide transfer RNA is filed under the name Pelodiscus sinensis (Chinese soft-shelled turtle). It matches the Rfam family "tRNA". From Rfam's summary of the family: Transfer RNA (tRNA) molecules are approximately 80 nucleotides in length. Their secondary structure includes four short double-helical elements and three loops (D, anti-codon, and T loops). Further hydrogen bonds mediate the characteristic L-shaped molecular structure. tRNAs have two regions of fundamental functional importance: the anti-codon, which is responsible for specific mRNA codon recognition, and the 3' end, to which the tRNAs corresponding amino acid is attached (by aminoacyl-tRNA synthetases). tRNAs cope with the degeneracy of the genetic code in two manners: having more than one tRNA (with a specific anti-codon) for a particular amino acid; and 'wobble' base-pairing, i.e. permitting non-standard base-pairing at the 3rd anti-codon position. The record is from Rfam by way of RNAcentral. Lineage: Eukaryota; Metazoa; Chordata; Testudines; Trionychidae.
GCUGUGAUGGCUGAGUGGUUAAGGCAUUAGACUAGAAAUCCAAUAAGGUUUUCCUGUGCAUGUUCAAAUCUUGCUCAAAGCA